ACAUUGGUGGUUUAGUGGUAGAAUUCUCGGCUUCCAUUCGCGAGACCAGGGUUCAAUUCCCGGCCAAUGCA
RNAcentral lists this transfer RNA (71 nucleotides) under Loxodonta africana (African savanna elephant). It matches the Rfam family "tRNA". Rfam says of the family: Transfer RNA (tRNA) molecules are approximately 80 nucleotides in length. Their secondary structure includes four short double-helical elements and three loops (D, anti-codon, and T loops). The record is from Rfam by way of RNAcentral. Lineage: Eukaryota; Metazoa; Chordata; Mammalia; Proboscidea; Elephantidae.